GAUGAACGCUGGCGGCGUGCCUAAUACAUGCAAGUCGAGCGAAGCGGGGACGGGUGAGUAACACGUGGAUAACCUCCUAUACGUCCGGGAUAACUUCGGGAAACCCGAGCUAAAGCGGCUACUUAUAUAUGGAUCCGCGCUGCAUUAGCUAGUUGGUAAGGUAACGGCUAACCAAGGCAACGAUGCAUAGCCGACCUGAGAGGGUGAUCGGCCAAACUGGGACUGAGACACGGUCCAGACUCCUACGGGAGGCAGCAGUAGGGAAUCUUCCGCAAUGGGCGAAAGCCUGACGGAGCAACGCCGCGUGAGUGAUGAAGUUCUUCGGAUCGUAAAACUCUGUUAUUAGGGAAGCGGUACCUAAUCAGAAAGCCACGGCUAACUACGUGCCAGCAGCCGCGGUAAUAC
Molecule: ribosomal RNA, 405 nt
Filed under: uncultured bacterium
Lineage: Bacteria
Description: partial 16S ribosomal RNA
Rfam family: Bacterial small subunit ribosomal RNA
Source: RNAcentral